Belonocnema kinseyi is the source of this 627-nucleotide long non-coding RNA. RefSeq lists it as uncharacterized. NCBI's taxonomy places the organism in Eukaryota, Metazoa, Arthropoda, Insecta, Hymenoptera, Cynipidae. The record is from RefSeq and is a predicted model, not a curated record. The transcript is spliced from 3 exons.
UGUUGAGUUGAAAGAGUUGUUUCCGACUAUCAAGUCUGAUAAUUGGUACAGCAGAAAUCGUUCGAAUGCUCAUGGACAAGCUGUCACCUCUUCUGUUUCAUUAUUGAAUUAUUAUAAGGUUUAUCGUAAAAAUUUAGCAGCAGCUCAUAUUACAGAUAGCAGUGCUGCUUUAGAGAAUAUUCAGACUACUUUUGAAGGAAAUUAUGGUACAAACUGGCAUUUACAUUUGAAACCUUUGACGGAUGAAAAUCCAUCGAGUUAUAAUAUUGGCAUUGUUCUCUGUACUUGGAAGGACUCAUUUGAAACGAGAUUAAAAAAUCUUGUAAAAUAUCAAAACAAAAAAGUUUUUAUAAAGUAUGAAACGUACUUGAACACAUAUGUAUGUUUGAAUUGUUCAUUUGGCCUCGACUUUCUUGAAACCGACAGCUAUACAAUUAUUAAAAAUUUAGCUAAGGAGAAACGCAUUCCCACAACAGUAGCAGACAACUUUCGCACCAUUUUUGGAACUCGUUGGCCUGUUUUGGCGUAGCUGAUUUUCAAGCAUGGAUAUAAUUCACAUGAUACAAGUAUCAAAGAAUUUAAACAUGAACACAAUAAUAUUAGUAAUGGUACGUUUCGUAAAUAAAU